RNAcentral lists this transfer RNA (85 nucleotides) under Patescibacteria group bacterium. Its description in RNAcentral is "tRNA-Ser". It matches the Rfam family "tRNA". Rfam says of the family: Transfer RNA (tRNA) molecules are approximately 80 nucleotides in length. Their secondary structure includes four short double-helical elements and three loops (D, anti-codon, and T loops). Further hydrogen bonds mediate the characteristic L-shaped molecular structure. tRNAs have two regions of fundamental functional importance: the anti-codon, which is responsible for specific mRNA codon recognition, and the 3' end, to which the tRNAs corresponding amino acid is attached (by aminoacyl-tRNA synthetases). tRNAs cope with the degeneracy of the genetic code in two manners: having more than one tRNA (with a specific anti-codon) for a particular amino acid; and 'wobble' base-pairing, i.e. permitting non-standard base-pairing at the 3rd anti-codon position. The record is from RNAcentral.
GGAGGGCUCGCCUAAUGGCAUGGCACCGCUCUUGAAAAGCGGCGAGCGCAAGCUCUUAGAGGUUCGACUCCUCUGCCCUCCGCCA